GACGAACGCUGGCGGCGUGCUUAACACAUGCAAGUCGAACGAAGUGGCGAACGGGUGAGUAACGCGUAAUCAACCUGCCCUUCAGAGGGGGGCAACAGUUGGGAACGCCUGCUAAUACCGCAUACUGAAGGAGGGGCUUUCGUCUGAUUAGCUAGUUGGAGGGGUAACGGCCCACCGAGGCGAUGUUCGGUAGCGGGCCUGAGAGGAUGAACGGGAACAUGGGGACUGAGACACGGCCCAGACUCCUACGGGUGGCAGCAGUGGGGAAUCUUCCGAAAUGGACGAAAGGCUGACGGAGCAACGCCGCGGGAGUGAUGACGGCCUGCGGGUUGUAAAGCUCUGUUAAUCUUGACGCGGUACCGGAAUAGAAAGCCACGGCUAACUACGUGCCAGCCGCCGCGGUAAUUC
This 408-nucleotide ribosomal RNA is filed under the name uncultured bacterium. Its description in RNAcentral is "partial 16S ribosomal RNA". It matches the Rfam family "Bacterial small subunit ribosomal RNA", at positions 28 to 526 of the family's 1533-position model. The record is from RNAcentral.